UACGGGGGGGGCAAGCGUUGUCCGGAAUUAUUGGGCGUAAAGAGCUCGUAGGCGGCUUGUCACGUCGGGUGUGAAAGCCCGGGGCUUAACCCCGGGUCUGCAUUCGAUACGGGCUAGCUAGAGUGUGGUAGGGGAGAUCGGAAUUCCUGGUGUAGCGGUGAAAUGCGCAGAUAUCAGGAGGAACACCGGUGGCGAAGGCGGGUCUCUGGGCCGAUACUGACGCUGAGGAGCGAAAGCGUGGGGAGCGAACAGG
Molecule: ribosomal RNA, 253 nt
Filed under: uncultured bacterium
Lineage: Bacteria
Description: partial 16S ribosomal RNA
Rfam family: Bacterial small subunit ribosomal RNA
Source: RNAcentral